RNAcentral lists this transfer RNA (71 nucleotides) under Simianus niponicus. Its description in RNAcentral is "tRNA-Val". The record is from RNAcentral. Lineage: Eukaryota; Metazoa; Arthropoda; Insecta; Coleoptera; Callirhipidae.
CAGAUUAGAGCUUGAUUAGGAAGUUUUUUAUUUACAUUAAAGAGGUAAUCGUGCAAUUCGAUUUAAUUUGA